CCAAUAGCGUAUAUUAAAGUUGUUGCAGUUAAAAAGCUCGUAGUUGAAUUUCGGGGUUCAUCCGUUGGUCGGGCUUUUUGGUCUGUACUGGCGUGAUGGAUUCCUACCUUCUGAAUAACCGGCAUGCCAUUAAUUUGGUGCGCCGGGGAAGCAGGACUGUUACCUUGAAAAAAUUAGAGUGCUUAAAGCAGGCUUAUGCCUGAAUACAUUAGCAUGGAAUAAUGAAAUAGGACGGCAUGGUUCUAUUUUGUUGGUUUCUAGGAUCACCGUAAUGAUUAAUAGGGAUAGUUGGGGGCAUUAGUAUUCAAUUGUCAGAGGUGAAAUUCUUGGAUUUAUUGAAGACUAACUUCUGCGAAAGCAUUUGCCAAGGAUGUUUUCAUUAAUCAAGAACGAAAGUUAGGGGAUCGAAGACGAUCAGAUACCGUCGUAGUCUUAACCAUAAACUAUGCCGACUAGGGAUCGGACGAUGUUAAUUUUUUAAUGACUCGUUCGGCGCCUUACG
This 502-nucleotide ribosomal RNA is filed under the name uncultured Glomeromycotina. RNAcentral's name for it is "partial small subunit ribosomal RNA". It matches the Rfam family "Eukaryotic small subunit ribosomal RNA", at positions 591 to 1092 of the family's 1831-position model. Lineage: Eukaryota; Fungi; Glomeromycota. The record is from RNAcentral.